ACGGUAGCAGGUAAGUACUUGUACUUAUGCUGACGAGUGGCGGACGGGUGAGUAAUGCUUGGGGAUCUGGCUUAUGGAGGGGGAUAACGACGGGAAACUGUCGCUAAUACCGCGUAGAAUCGGGAGAUGAAAGUGUGGGACCUUCGGGCCACAUGCCAUAGGAUGAGCCCAAGUGGGAUUAGGUAGUUGGUGGGGUAAUGGCCUACCAAGCCGACGAUCUCUAGCUGGUCUGAGAGGAUGACCAGCCACACCGGGACUGAGACACGGCCCGGACUCCUACGGGAGGCAGCAGUGGGGAAUAUUGCGCAAUGGGGGCAACCCUGACGCAGCCAUGCCGCGUGAAUGAAGAAGGCCUUCGGGUUGUAAAGUUCUUUCGGUGACGAGGAAGGUUGUUGUGUUAAUAGCGCAACAAAUUGACGUUAAUCACAGAAGAAGCAC
RNAcentral lists this ribosomal RNA (438 nucleotides) under Aggregatibacter aphrophilus. RNAcentral's name for it is "bacterial SSU rRNA". It matches the Rfam family "Bacterial small subunit ribosomal RNA", at positions 66 to 493 of the family's 1533-position model. Lineage: Bacteria; Pseudomonadati; Pseudomonadota; Gammaproteobacteria; Pasteurellales; Pasteurellaceae. The record is from RNAcentral.